UUUGGAAGUAAAAAUCGUAACAAGGUUUCCGUAGGUGAACCUGCGGAAGGAUCAUUACCUAGAGUUUGUAGACUUCGGUCUGCUACCUCUUACCCAUGUCUUUUGAGUACCUUCGUUUCCUCGGCGGGUCCGCCCGCCGAUUGGACAACAUUCAAACCCUUUGCAGUUGCAAUCAGCGUCUGAAAAAACAUAAUAGUUACAACUUUCAACAACGGAUCUCUUGGUUCUGGCAUCGAUGAAGAACGCAGCGAAAUGCGAUAAGUAGUGUGAAUUGCAGAAUUCAGUGAAUCAUCGAAUCUUUGAACGCACAUUGCGCCCCUUGGUAUUCCAUGGGGCAUGCCUGUUCGAGCGUCAUUUGUACCUUCAAGCUCUGCUUGGUGUUGGGUGUUUGUCUCGCCUCUGCGUGUAGACUCGCCUUAAAACAAUUGGCAGCCGGCGUAUUGAUUUCGGAGCGCAGUACAUCUCGCGCUUUGCACUCAUAACGACGACGUCCAAAAGUACAUUUUUACACUCUUGACCUCG
RNAcentral lists this ribosomal RNA (522 nucleotides) under uncultured fungus. Its description in RNAcentral is "eukaryotic LSU rRNA". The stretch from base 201 to 354 matches the Rfam family "5.8S ribosomal RNA". Lineage: Eukaryota; Fungi. The record is from RNAcentral.